UAACAGCUGGAAACGGCUGCUAAUACCGCAUAAGCGCACAGUGCCGCAUGGCACGGUGUGAAAAACUCCGGUGGUAUGGGAUGGGCCCGCGUUGGAUUAGCCAGUUGGCAGGGUAACGGCCUACCAAAGCGACGAUCCAUAGCCGGCCUGAGAGGGCGACCGGCCACAUUGGGACUGAGACACGGCCCAAACUCCUACGGGAGGCAGCAGUGGGGAAUAUUGCACAAUGGGGGAAACCCUGAUGCAGCGACGCCGCGUGAGCGAAGAAGUAUUUCGGUAUGUAAAGCUCUAUCAGCAGGGAAGAAAAUGACGGUACCUGACUAAGAAGCCCCGGCUAACUACGUGCC
This 347-nucleotide ribosomal RNA is filed under the name uncultured chicken cecal bacterium. Its description in RNAcentral is "bacterial SSU rRNA". It matches the Rfam family "Bacterial small subunit ribosomal RNA", at positions 144 to 509 of the family's 1533-position model. The record is from RNAcentral.